AAAAUACAAGACAAAAUCCUACAAAAUGGCUUUUCAAACCAAUCAAUCUUAUCUUCUAAGUGCUUUAUGCAUUGUUUUGAUCAUGGGUUCAGGGUUGGUUACUAGUUUGACGGUUCCAGCUGGAACAGAAUGUAUAGGGCCUUGCACUGAUACUUGCGAUAGUGAUUGUAUUGCCAAGGGACAUCCAAAUGGUGGACUAUGUUAUAGUCGACUUGAAAAAGCCACUUGUUGUUGUUUAUAAAUUAAAUUAGCAAUUAUUGUAUCAUUAUGGUCAAAAUAAAUAAAAGAAUCACUUGAACUUGCAAUUUGA
Cicer arietinum (chickpea) is the source of this 310-nucleotide non-coding RNA. NCBI's taxonomy places the organism in Eukaryota, Viridiplantae, Streptophyta, Magnoliopsida, Fabales, Fabaceae. The record is from RefSeq and is a predicted model, not a curated record.